Molecule: ribosomal RNA, 228 nt
Filed under: uncultured bacterium
Lineage: Bacteria
Description: partial 16S ribosomal RNA
Rfam family: Bacterial small subunit ribosomal RNA
Source: RNAcentral
UGGGCAACCUGCCCUCAGCUCUGGGAUAACUCCAAGAAAUUGGGGCUAAUACCGGAUAUGACCGCUGACCGCAUGGUCUGGUGGUGGAAAGAUUUAUCGGCUGGGGAUGGGCCCGCGGCCUAUCAGCUUGUUGGUGGGGUGAUGGCCUACCAAGGCGACGACGGGUAGCCGGCCUGAGAGGGUGUCCGGCCACACUGGGACUGAGAUACGGCCCAGACUCCUACGGGA